This is a long non-coding RNA of Siniperca chuatsi (mandarin fish), 260 nucleotides long. RefSeq lists it as uncharacterized. NCBI's taxonomy places the organism in Eukaryota, Metazoa, Chordata, Actinopteri, Centrarchiformes, Sinipercidae. The record is from RefSeq and is a predicted model, not a curated record. The transcript is spliced from 3 exons.
ACAGGAUACAGGAUGAAACUAGACACUAUGAAAGAUGAGCGAGAAGUUGAGGGAGGUCUGCCAGAAUGCAAUUUAAAAAAAGAGAAAGAAGAGGGAGGCAGACAUUGGGAGGACGGAAGGAAUUCAUGAUUGACGAGAGCAACGUCUACCACAAAAGGAAGCUGUGCGAGUUCAGCAGGCCAUGAGACGCACAGUUCCACAAGGAAUGUUGCAGCGCGCGCACUCAAUAAACACUAUAGGGACAGCUGAAGAGAGAGAGG